Molecule: ribosomal RNA, 253 nt
Filed under: uncultured bacterium
Lineage: Bacteria
Description: partial 16S ribosomal RNA
Rfam family: Bacterial small subunit ribosomal RNA
Source: RNAcentral
GACGAACCGUGCGAACGUUGUUCGGAAUCACUGGGCCUAAAGGGCGCGUAGGCGGCUUUUCAAGUCAGGGGUGAAAUCCGGCAGCUCAACUGUCGAAGUGCCCUUGAUACUGAUGAGCUCGAGGGAGGUAGGGGUAUGUGGAACUUCCGGUGGAGCGGUGAAAUGCGUUGAUAUCGGAAGGAACGCCGGUGGCGAAAGCGACGUACUGGACCUCUUCUGACGCUGAGGCGCGAAAGCUAGGGGAGCAAACGGG